This 492-nucleotide ribosomal RNA is filed under the name uncultured bacterium. Its description in RNAcentral is "partial 16S ribosomal RNA". It matches the Rfam family "Bacterial small subunit ribosomal RNA", at positions 29 to 507 of the family's 1533-position model. The record is from RNAcentral.
AGUGAACGCUGGCGGUAUGCCUAACACAUGCCAGUCGAACGGCAGCACAGUAAUGGCUUGCUCUGACGGGUGGCGAGUGGCGUAAGGGGGGGGAAAACAGCCGAAGCUACUUUUUCGUGGGGGGGAAACUAGGGAAAAUUACGCUAAGACAGCAUACGACCUACGGGUGAAAGCAGAGGAUCUUCCGACCUUGCGCGGAUGCGUGACCCGGUGGCGGAUUAGCGAGUUGGUGGGUUACAGGCCCACCGAGGCGACGAUCCGUAGCUGGUCUGAGAGGAUGAACAGGCACACUGGAACUGAGCGACGGCACAGACUCCGACGGGAGGCAGCAGUUGGGACUAUUGGACAAUGGGCGCAAGCUUGCUCCAGCCAUGCCGCGUGGGUGCAGCAGGCCUUCGGGUUGUAAAGCCCUUUUGUUGGGGUAGAAAAGUAGCAGGUUAAUACCCCGCUGUUCUGACGGUACCCAAAGAAUAAGCACCGGCUAACUUCGUG